Molecule: ribosomal RNA, 279 nt
Filed under: uncultured bacterium
Lineage: Bacteria
Description: partial 16S ribosomal RNA
Rfam family: Bacterial small subunit ribosomal RNA
Source: RNAcentral
UGCCAGCCGCCGCGGUAAUACGGGGGGAGCAAGCGUUGUCCGGAAUCAUUGGGCGUAAAGAGUCCGUAGGCGGCUUGGUAGGUGACGUGUGAAAUCCCACGGCUCAACCGUGGAAUUGCGCGUCAAACCAUCAGGCUAGAGGGAGAUAGAGGAAAGCGGAACUGAUGGUGGAGCGGUGAAAUGCGUUGAUAUCAUCAGGAACACCGGUGGCGAAGGCGGCUUUCUGGGUCUCUUCUGACGCUGAGGGACGAGAGCUAGGGGAGCGAACAGGAUUAGAUA